AUUGAACGCUGGCGGCAGGCCUAACACAUGCAAGUCGAACGAGUGGCGGACGGGUGAGUAGUGUCUGGGAAACUGCCCGAUGGAGGGGGCUAACUACUGGAAACGGUGGCUAAUACCGCAUACCAUCGGAUGUGCCCAGAUGGGAGUAGCUAGUCGGUGGGGUAAGGGCUCACCAAGGCGACGAUCCCUAGCUGGUCUGAGAGGAUGACCAGCCACACUGGAACUGAGACACGGCCCAGACUCCUACGGGAGGCAGCAGUGGGGAAGAUUGCAAAAUGGGCGAAAGCCUGAGGGAGCCAUGCCGCGUGUAUGAAGAAGGCCUUCGGAUUGUAAAGUACUUUCAGCGGGGAGGCGUUACUCACAGAAGAAGCACCGGCUAACUCCGUGCCAGCAGCCGCGGUAAUAC
This 406-nucleotide ribosomal RNA is filed under the name uncultured bacterium. RNAcentral's name for it is "partial 16S ribosomal RNA". It matches the Rfam family "Bacterial small subunit ribosomal RNA", at positions 29 to 526 of the family's 1533-position model. The record is from RNAcentral.